Molecule: long non-coding RNA, 287 nt
Filed under: Hordeum vulgare
Lineage: Eukaryota; Viridiplantae; Streptophyta; Magnoliopsida; Poales; Poaceae
Description: long non-coding RNA (HVUL_LNC000990)
Source: RNAcentral
CCUGUUCUGCCUCAUAACUUUGUAGAAACACUCCGAUGGCUUGACUCAGGAUGACGAACAAGAACACACGCAUAGAUAUACCCAUGUUCAAGCCACCUCACGGUCUAAAAUCAUACUCCUGCUUGUCUACAUUGCUUGUGUGAGAGGGAGCGAGUACAAUGUGAGUUCUUACCCUAAUCGAGUUUGUGUCAUUUGCUGCGAAGGUCGGGCCUCCCUUUUAUGUAGGCCCCGGUCCUCUUGCCCCGAAAACACUCGGCGGGAAGGUUUGCCACAACGGUCAUUUCGAA